RNAcentral lists this ribosomal RNA (497 nucleotides) under uncultured bacterium. RNAcentral's name for it is "partial 16S ribosomal RNA". It matches the Rfam family "Bacterial small subunit ribosomal RNA", at positions 28 to 507 of the family's 1533-position model. The record is from RNAcentral.
GAUGAACGCUGGCGGCGUGCCUAAUACAUGCAAGUCGAGCGAACAGACGAGGAGCUUGCUCCUCUGACGUUAGCGGCGGACGGGUGAGUAACACGUGGAUAACCUACCUAUAAGACUGGGAUAACUUCGGGAAACCGGAGCUAAUACCGGAUAAUAUAUUGAACCGCAUGGUUCAAUAGUGAAAGACGGUUUUGCUGUCACUUAUAGAUGGAUCCGCGCCGCAUUAGCUAGUUGGUAAGGUAACGGCUUACCAAGGCAACGAUGCGUAGCCGACCUGAGAGGGUGAUCGGCCACACUGGAACUGAGACACGGUCCAGACUCCUACGGGAGGCAGCAGUAGGGAAUCUACCGCAAUGGGCGAAAGCCUGACGGAGCAACGCCGCGUGAGUGAUGAAGGUCUUCGGAUCGUAAAACUCUGUUAUUAGGGAAGAACAAAUGUGUAAGUAACUAUGCACGUCUUGACGGUACCUAAUCAGAUAGCCACGGCUAACUACGUG